UGAUGCGGAGACCAUGGAUCCAUGAAAUCAAGUUCCAACAAGUUACCGUGAAUUUAUUUACGAAUAAUUUCACUACCUUAUUAAUUCCUCGUGACUUCACUAUAGACUCGGAAUUGAACUCUUGAAUUCAUAGAACGUAUUUUCAAAACCAUAAAUACGUUAUCCAUUGUUAUAACCAUUACAAUCAGUCAAUCCUCUAUUGAUGACUUACUAACGAGUUGGGUGCAAAUUACCGUUUUACUCCUCAUCAGUAUUUUAUCCUUAACUCCCACUAAGUUCCUUAUAAAUGAUAUUUCCGUGAACUUAAUCACAGAAAUGAGAUCUCAAUCAUUUAACCUUUUGAACAAAGCAAUUAAGGAAAUCAUCUUUUCACUUCUCAUACAGAAGUUAUAGAUUUCGUAUCUAUGAAUAAUACUCCCACUCAAUUACACUAAUAAAUCUCCAAGAUGUAAGUAUGGGCUAGACCGUAGGGUAAGCUGGUAACGAACAAGUCAAAAGAUUUAAAUAAUAUAAUUAGCAGAAUAUUAUCACUCAGAAUUAAGAUCGACUUAAUAUAUGGUCAACGUUGUGAUAUUGAUUAGAUUUGAUAACAACGAUACUUACUUAUCAAUCAAUAAUUAAUAUCGGUCCUAGUCCGAUGUAACUAAAUACAUCCGAUCUUAUCUACUUGGUCGAAGCCUUGGACAAGACAUCACACCCUGAAUGUGUAAGUAGAUCAUAUCGUAGAUUGCCUAAUCAGUGAAAAUCCAAUGCACUGAUCUAAUCUUAGGACUCGUUCUUUUGAACAUAUAAUUACAACUAUAAUCUACUGUGACCUAGUCACUAUAAUUGUAACUAUCCAUAUGUUCGAGAUUUUAUAAAUGUUUGUAUUAUUUCAAUAAUCAUGUAAUAAACACAAGCAAGCAACACAGUUUUCAAACUAAAUGAUUUUUACUACUUUUAUUGAUAAUAUGAAAUCGUGCUACAUGUCCGACAUGGUUUUAUAAGGGCAUAAAACCCAACAGUGUCCACUUCCCCACUCUCUCGUGUGGGUACACGCUCAAAGCCUGAACUUUACAAUAGUUCGGGGCUCCCUUCGAGUUCAUUUUACCCUUUUGAGACUUCAGUCUUGAUUGAGGUAAAUUCGUGAUCUCGAACUUUCGAGCUCGGAUUACCAAAUUUACGCUUUCUUUGUGAUUUCCCUUUUACUGGGCCCUCACCCUUUUCUUUCUUGUUAGAUGUCGCAGUACCCUGAGACUCGGUGGGGGCCCAAGCUCGCUAUUCCUUACUCCCCGUCAACUCCCAGUCCUGAAUCACCUUUCACACAAUACCAGCGCCAGAUACGCGAGCAUAGAGAAAGGUGCGAGCAAGAAAACACCCGAGAUCGGUUUCGACGUCAAAUUGAUGAGGUCGAGGAGAGAAAGAGAAGAAUACUCCGGGUUGCAGUUUAUCCAGAUCCAGACCUCAAAAUUAGACCAAUUCCACUAGAUCCUAAGCUCAAAGUCACAGUGCCUUCAAGCCUGGUGCACUUUCAUUUUCACUGAUGGAAGAUCUUUCACAACAUCCUUCCACUUCUCAAAUCGCGUCAAUUCCCACCUCCAAAGAAGAAUUCUUCAAGGCUGGGCACUAUUGGAGCUCAGUCACUUCUAUCAGCUAGAUAUCCGAGAUAUUGGCUUUCUGUGGACUAAAACUUCUGGCACUCUGAUGUGUCGGCCUGUGGCUUCGAACGAAUGGAGCUGCUUUGCCUCGAGAGAUGGAAAUCGCAUUAGCAAAAUCAAGCUCUCCGCAUGGAGUCGCGAGCAUAUGAGGGCAGGGGCUCUACUACCUCUGAAAACGUAUUUCAAGAAUUUUCUGGACUUUGUGGGGCUCGCCCCAUUCCAGCUCCAGACCAAUUCCUUCAGGGUCCUAUCAGUCCUUAGGUCGUUAUACCACGAGCUGAAGUGGGAAGGGCCCCCCUGCCUCAAGAGAUAUUAUAUCUCUUUUGUCUCAAAAGCAACCCAUCUCGAGCUCAUGGCCGGGACAACUUUUAUUAAUAAUCGAGCUACCCCAAGGAGAAAAAGCUCUUCUAAGAUAUGCCGAAUCAUCCCCCGAAUUUCAAACUUGCCUUCUCCACGACGGACGGUCUCGCUCCCUCCAGAUUUGACUCCUUUCAACGUAUCCGUAAGUACCCUAUCACACUUAUCCCCCUAUUUCUUUUUUAUAAACUAGUUGAGCUUGGAAUAUUGAUACUUAGUUGUUCUUGCAACCAAUUAUCAUAGCCCCACCCCACCAGAAAUGAUGGUGGAGCAUAGGGCAGCCCUGCUCCAACUGCCCUAUGGUUGGAGGUCCUUGUCCUACCUUCUCCUUGAAGACUGGCUCCGAGCCUGUGACCUCUUAGAGGAAGGCCAGUCUACGGAUGACUCGGCCUACUGCAAGUACUCAAGGUGGGACCACGUGCCACUUCCCAGUGACAGACUUCCCCCCAGGCGGAGGUCCUCGAGCUUGCAAGCUCGUGCCCCAGUGGCUCACUGACAGAAUCGACCUUCCUCGGGCAACAAAGCCCAAGACGAAGCCUCACUGAACUUGAAUGAUGGAGGUAACGUCGUGCUCAACUCCUCUAUGUGGUCUUUUUCAUGCUUAAGCACAAACCCGAUGUACUGAUCCUCUUCUCGGAUCCUAGAGAUAAUUUUCAUGUGUGGUCAUGGGUAGAUUAUAGAGUAUGUAGGUUUGAUAGCUUGUUAGGUCAGUAUCAAACCAUGUAUAGUCUGAACGAGGUCUGGGAUGGGGUUGCCGUUCAGUAUGGAACAAACAUGUAUAGAGAUCUUUCGAGACUAUCUCCCACAUAUAGAGAUGGGACUCCCCCAACAUCCUCAGAAGAUAGUGGAAUUUCCUGGUCACCGAGUUCGAGUUCGGUUGAGUGUACCAGUGUCAUGGAUUCCGAUCUCAACAACGUACUUAGCCGUCCCUCGGUGGACAAGGCAAGCAAACGCCAAAGGGCGUCUCAAAGAGGGGGGCAUCCCUCUGAAGUACUCAAAAGACCCAAGGUGGUCCCUCCAGCCUCGGUCGCUCAAAGCCCGACCCUGGCCACCGUGUCUACUCCCGAGGCUAGGGUAACAACUGAAGUUCCUGAGGUGAGGGUAACUACUGAAGUUCCCGAGGUGAGGGUAACAACUGAAGUUCCUGAGGUGAGGGUAACUACUGAAGUUCCCGAGGUGAGGGUAACUACUGAAGUUGAGCCAAUGGCACCCCCAAACCCCCUGUCUCUUCCUCCGGCACAAGUCUCCAAUCGAGCUCCCGGUGCCCAAAAAAGAGUUCCCACACGGGAAUGAUUAUGGACGAUCUCCACCCACGUCCUGGAAUACAUGGUCAACAAUGCUGCUGGGUCGCAUGGAGUAAAUCUGGGCUCGGACGUCUUGUCCCAUGUGGGCCAAAGUCUCAGCAACCUCGACGCCCCCCCAAUGGGAGUUCCUCACCUCCUGCCACAAUGCCAACACUGUCUUUGACAAAGGCAGUGAGCUCCUUUAUUCGGCACUUGCUUAUUUUGUUCAACACAACUUUAAGUUGAACAAUGAGAUGGUAACGAGCAGGGCACAUGCUCAAGAGGCCAGUGAUGCCAAGCUGAAGCUAGUAGAUGAGCUCAAAGCAGCGAGGCUAGAGGCAGCGGUAGGGUAGGCAAGCAUUCUGAAGGUGUCUGAGUUAGAGCUGAAGUUGAAGGCUGCCCAGAAGGUGUCUGACCUUGAGUCAACUAUGGAAGUAACCUUGAAAGAAGUUGAGGCCGAAAAUUCUGAGAUCCAGCAAAAAGAAUCCAAGAUUAAGGAACUACAAGAGUUAAACGCCAAGUUGGAGGAGGAAAAGAAGGUGACCUUCAAGAUAAUCGAAGGAGAGAAGACCCGCCUUCUUAAGGAGUUCAAGACCAAGAAAGAUCACGUCGUAGACAUGGCGAUGUAUCGGAUCUGGGUGAACAAUCAUGACCUCGAUACCAGCUUGGCCAACUUAGAGGCCAGAUUUGUUGACAAGUGGCAAGCUCGAAUUGAAGAAGAGGGGGCCAAACUCAAGGCUAAGGAGACGGCGGAGACACCCAACACUGCUGGCGGGGAGGCGUGAAGGCAAGAUCAUGGGCUGCGUCCCAUUAUAAUUUUUGUAAUAAUAAUUUAUUUUUAUAUGCAUGCCCCUUGGGGCGAAGACAAUAUGUAGCUCGAUCAAGAGCUACUUUUAUUAAAUACUAACUUUAACCUUUAGGCACAUAAUUUUCUGGCUCGAAAAUCUUUUAUGCACAUGAUUUUUCUUUUA
This is a long non-coding RNA of Humulus lupulus (European hop), 4248 nucleotides long. RefSeq lists it as uncharacterized. The record is from RefSeq and is a predicted model, not a curated record. The transcript has 3 exons. NCBI's taxonomy places the organism in Eukaryota, Viridiplantae, Streptophyta, Magnoliopsida, Rosales, Cannabaceae.